Molecule: long non-coding RNA, 1954 nt
Filed under: Capsicum annuum
Lineage: Eukaryota; Viridiplantae; Streptophyta; Magnoliopsida; Solanales; Solanaceae
Description: long non-coding RNA (CANN_LNC013026)
Source: RNAcentral
UUUCUUUCCUUUGAGGUGUCGGGUUUGAAGUUGGUGAGUGUGAUUGUGGUUUAUAAACAGGGGAAAACAGAGGUUUCGGGCCAUGAUUCGUUUCAGGGUAGCUUUCUUUCUUUUGAGGUAUCGGGUUUGAAGUUGGUAAAUGUGAUUGUGGUGUAUAAACAGGGGAAAACAGAGGCUUUGGACCAUGAUUCGUUUCAGGGUAGCUCUCUUUCCUUUGAGUUAUCGGGUUUGAAGUUGGUGAAUGUGGUUGUUGUUGCGAGUAAACAGGUGAAAACAGAGGCUUUGGACCAGGAGUUGUUUCAGGGUAGCUCUCUUUCCUUGGAGGUAUCGGGUUUGAAGUUGAUGAAUGUGGUUGUUGUGAAUAAACAGGGGGAAACAGAGGUUUUGGGCUGUAUGCUGUUUCAGGGUAGCUUUCUUUCUUUUGAGGUGUCGGGUUUGAAGUUGGUGAAUGUUGUUGUUGUGUAUGAAAAGGGGAAAACACAGGCUUUGCGCCGUGCGCUGACUCAGGAUAGCUUUCUUUUCUCUGAGGUGUCGGGUUUGAAGUUGGAGAAUCUGGUCGUUGUGUGUGAACAGGGGAAAACAGAGGCUUCAUUCCUUUUGUUGGUUCAGAGUAACUCUCUUUCCUUUCGGCUAUCGGAUUUGAUGUAGAAUAAUAGGAUGGUUGGGUAGAAACAGGUGAAGCCGAAGGCUUUCCACCUUGAGUUCUCUCAGGGUAACUUUCUUUUAUAUGUGGAGUUGAGUAAGAUGCUGGAAAAUGUGAUUGUGGUGCAUAAGUCGGAGAAGCCCGAGGCUUGUUACCUUCCUGAAGGAUCCUCAUGGCAGUGCCAAUAUCAUUUGUGGCUUGGGUAAGUGGAGGACUAGUUGUUUUGUAACCUCCAUUGAAUUUUGGCUUGCCAUAAUCAUCUUUAUUGUUACUAUAUGGGCUUUUAACAUAAUCAUCAUGACUUCUCCUGCUAUCCCAAUCCCCAUGAGUUGAUCUUGGUGGUGAAUCCCAUGUGUUGUUGACUCCAUAGUCCUUGACAUGGCCAGACUUGGGAGAAUCCAUGGACUGGACAUAGCCGUCACUAUACUUAAACGGACUUGAUCCUCGAUUAUCUUGAAGGUGCAACCCUUCAAACUUAUUGCGAAGAGGGCUGCCACUAAAAUCGCGAUGCUCCCUAUACUUGGGAGAAUCCUGAUCUUCGCUUAUCCAACUAGGUUUUUUAGUGAUCAACUUUGGAGGACUCAAAAGAGUGGAAUGAGUUGGUCGGCUGACUUCACUAUGAAUUAUGUCGAAGAAGUCAUUGACCUUCCUAGGACUAUGAUCGUCCCACUCCUCGUGCCCAUUGUACUCAUCUAGAAGACCAUUCAUGGGAAUAUCAUAACUACGACGAACUUCAACAACUCUUUGAGCUCUCACCACAUAACCCUUGACUCCAUGUUCAGUUGAGUAGGAAACAAUUGGAUUCCUACUUCCUUGAACAUCAACGAUCACAGGGCGACAAACAUGAUCAGGGUAGUCACUCAUCGUAGUAAUUGGUUUCCCCCAAUCAUCUUCGUAUGGUUGCACCUCAUUGUAGGUGUUAAAACCUCCACCCCUGCCAUAACUAGCCAUAACUAUUAUUUGGACUAUACCUGCUUCUUUAUUUUUAUUUUUUUUCCUUGCUAAGUUUUAAGCAAGUUGAACUCUCUCCUUAUAUAGAAAGUAGAGUCAUGUUGCAUGUGUAUCCAUUUUUUUUUUUCCUUUAUUCUGUUUCUACUGUCUCUAUUUUUGGAUUCCCUUAGCUUUCUCCAUAAUGUGAAAGAACCAAAUUCUCCAUAUACUUAGCCUGGCUGUGAGGUUUUCAUUUCCCAUUGGUGUAUCUUCAUGAGAGGGCUAGUAGGACCAAGCAGGACAAGGGUAACAAAAGUUUUUUGUGAAAAUAAUUUAGGGUAUAAUAAAAGAUAGAUGUGAAUCUUUCAUUCUUCAAGUAAA